GGGAUUGUAGCUCAGUGGCAGAGCACUUGCCUAGCACAUAUGAGCCACUGAGUUCGAUCCUCAGCCCCA
Molecule: transfer RNA, 69 nt
Filed under: Marmota monax (woodchuck)
Lineage: Eukaryota; Metazoa; Chordata; Mammalia; Rodentia; Sciuridae
Also listed under: 1 other name
Rfam family: tRNA
About the family: Transfer RNA (tRNA) molecules are approximately 80 nucleotides in length. Their secondary structure includes four short double-helical elements and three loops (D, anti-codon, and T loops).
Source: Rfam by way of RNAcentral